RNAcentral lists this ribosomal RNA (1415 nucleotides) under Bacillidium vesiculoformis. Its description in RNAcentral is "SSU rRNA". It matches the Rfam family "Eukaryotic small subunit ribosomal RNA". The record is from RNAcentral. Lineage: Eukaryota; Fungi; Microsporidia; Mrazekiidae.
AUGCAAGCUCGCGAAGCCUUGGGCGGAGCAGCAGACAGCUCAGUAAUACAGUUAUAAUUUACUCGUGAUCUGAUACGGAUAACCUUGGUAAACUAAGGCUAAUACGUAGGAUAGGACGACUGACUUGAGGAAGCAGCAGUAGUCCUGAGGAUUCUAUCGCGAUUAAGUUUCUGGCCUAUCAGCUUGUUGGUAAGGUAAUGGCUUACAAAGGCUUUGACGGGUAACGGGGAAUCAGUGUUCGAUUCCGGAGAGGGAGCCUGAGAAAUAGCUCCCACGUCCAAGGAUGGCAGCAGGCGCGAAAAUUUCCCAAUUCCUUCACGGGAGAGGUAGUUAAGAGACAUGAAGUUCUACUUAGAGACUGUACAAUAAAUACGUAUAGGAUCGACUGGAGGGCAAGUCUGGUGCCAGCAGCCGCGGUAAUUCCAGCUCCAGUAGCGCAUAUAAUAGUUGCUGCAGUUAAAACGUCCGUAGUUGAUCACAAGGUAUAUUUCAACAUAGCAUUUGUUGGGCUCUGCCUCGGUACUGUGAGAAAAAUAUAGUUCUCAAAGCAGGUUACGUGAGUAAUUCAGCAUGGGACACAGUGAAUAUAGGAACAGAUGAUGGCAAUAGUAUUCAGUAGUUAGAGGUGAAAAUUGAUGACCUGCUGAGGACUGUCGGAAGCGAAGGCGAUUGUCAAGUAUGUCUCCGUUAAUAAAGGACUUAAGCUAGAGGAUCGAAGAUGAUUAGAUACCGUCGUAGUUCUAGCUGUAAACGAUGCCGACUAGGUGAGGCCACACGGCUGCGCCUUAGGAGAAAUCAAAGUCUAUGGGCUCUGGGGAUAGUAUUUGCGCAAGCUUGAAACUUAAAGAAAUUGACGGAAGGACACCACAAGGAGUGGAUUGUGCGGCUUAAUUUGACUCAACGCGGGACAACUUACCAGGGCCGAACUUGUUUGAGAUUGGCGGUUUGAGAGAACCCCCGAGAUUAUAAGAAAGGUGGUGCAUGGCCGUUUUCAACACGUGGGGUGACCUGUCUGGUUAAUUCCGUUAACGCGUGAGGCCCUGUAGGCAACGAUGUUGCCUGACGGAUGGCGGCAAGCCAUAGGAAGUGGGGCCAUAACAGGUCAGUGAUGCCCCUAGAUGUUCUGGGCUGCACGCGCAAUACAAUGGCACGGUGAGACUAUGCACUGAGAAGUGUGCUCUAAUCCGUGCCGAAGCUGGGAUAAGCUCUUGUAAAUGAGCUUUGAACGAGGAAUUCCUAGUAAUCGCAAGUCAUUAUGUUGCGAUGAAUGCGUCCCUGUUCUUUGUACACACCGCCCGUCACUAUCUCAGAUGGAUGUAUUGAUGAAAUGGCUGGACGCAAGUAAGGCAGUUGAAUCAGUGCAACUAGAUAAGAUAUAAGUCGUAACAAGGCUGCUAUAAGUGAACUUGUGGCAG